Molecule: small RNA, 1370 nt
Filed under: Histoplasma capsulatum var. duboisii H88
Lineage: Eukaryota; Fungi; Ascomycota; Eurotiomycetes; Onygenales; Ajellomycetaceae
Description: Histoplasma capsulatum H88 hypothetical RNA
Source: RNAcentral
CCUAUCAAGCGUUCUCUUUUACUGGUGGAGGCAAUUUCUGGUGAUUUGGAUACCCAAAUCCGAACCCUGAUACACGGACGCUCUAUCAUGCACUUAAGUUUUAAAGAAUUCCGCGCUUUAAUGCGGUCAGCUCAAGUCAUCUGGCGUGCUUGGGAUGAGAAUGUGAAGGAAUUUACAAAUGUUGCUCGUGAUGCUAUAAGACGGCGGAAUGAGAAGUUCAUCUCCAUCAAAGUGGAACCCAGACAUAGCGCCAUUCAAGAUCGAUUGAAGUACAUCAAUACCUUCCGCAACAACCACGAACAGCUGCAACGAACUAUCGUGAACGUUCUUGGACCUAACGCAAACAUGUCAGCAGGUGCUGGUACUGAUGGAACUGUGACCGCGGAGGAAAUUGGUGAUGUCGAUGCCCUGGAUGAAGUUUCUCAAGCAUAUGCGUCUUUGAAGGAUGUCGACGUUCUAGACGUAUCUGAAGAAGGUACUCAAAUAUGGAUCCAGGCCGAAGCUUCAUAUAAUGAGCGCACUUCUAGAGUGGAAAAUUCAAUAAUCGCCCAACUCAAGGACCGCCUGGCUACCGCGAAGAACGCUACGGAGAUGUUCCGUGUCUUUUCAAAAUUCAAUGCCCUGCUUGUCCGACCCAAGAUUCGAAGUGCUAUUAGUAUACACCAAUCUGAAUUAAUCGAGCUAGUUAAGCACGAUAUUGCAAAACUGCAUGAGAGAUUCAAGCAACAGUAUGGUCAUUCUCAAGCACAUCCCAUGGCGCAGCUACGAGAUCUUCCUCCGGUAUCAGGUGCAAUUGUCUGGGCUCGUCAGAUUGAACGGCAACUUGAUGGCUAUAUGAGAAAGGUCGAGGACGUUCUGGGAGAAGACUGGGACUUGCACGCUGAAGGGCAGAAACUCCAGGCUGAAAGUAACAUGUUCCGAAAGAAGCUUGAUACGCGACCUAUAUUUCAGAACUGGUUACAGGAUGUUCAGCGACGAAAUAUUACGAUUUCCGGCCGCUUGUUUAAGAUUUUCCGCAAUCGUGCCACGGGAAACACUUUGGAACUAGAUGUUAAUUUCGACCCGCAGAUUAUUGUGCUUUUCAAGGAAGUUAGAAACCUUGUCUGGCUCAAUUAUCAAGUUCCUCAUGCUAUCAACACGAUUUCCAAAGAAGCGAAACGAGUGUACCCAUACGCCAUCAGUUUAAUUGAAAGUGUCCGAACUGCCUUGCAAACAAUGCGUUCGAUCUCAUCUAUGGCUGAGGUUUCCAUUCUUUUGAGUGGGUACAAAAACGACGUCCAGGCUUUAAUCAUGAAGGGUCUUCCAUUGCGCUGGGAGUCAUUUAUACAUUCUUAUGAACUCCACAUCAAGCAGGUGAUGGCCAAUGGGGC